This 521-nucleotide ribosomal RNA is filed under the name uncultured Clostridium sp. RNAcentral describes it as "bacterial SSU rRNA". It matches the Rfam family "Bacterial small subunit ribosomal RNA", at positions 8 to 526 of the family's 1533-position model. The record is from RNAcentral. Lineage: Bacteria; Bacillati; Bacillota; Clostridia; Eubacteriales; Clostridiaceae.
AGGGUUUGAUCCUGGCUCAGGACGAACGCUGGCGGCGUGCCUAACACAUGCAAGUCGAGCGAAGUGUUUAGGAAUGAUAUUUUCGAAUUGACUUCCUAAACAUCUUAGCGGCAAACGGGUGAGUAACGCGUGAGGAACCUGCCUUUCACAAAGGGAUAGCCUCGGGAAACUGGGAUUAAUACCUUAUGAUACUGAUAUGGCGCAUGCCAAAUUAGUUAAAGCGCAAAGCGGUGAAAGAUGGCCUCGCGUCCCAUUAGCUAGUUGGUGAGGUAAAGGCUCACCAAGGCUGCGAUGGGUAACCGGCCUGAGAGGGUGAACGGUCACACUGGAACUGAGACACGGUCCAGACUCCUACGGGAGGCAGCAGUGGGGAAUAUUGCACAAUGGAGGAAACUCUGAUGCAGCGACGCCGCGUGAGUGAAGAAGGCUUUCGAGUCGUAAAACUCUGUCCUUGGGGACGAUAAUGACGGUACCCAAGGAGGAAGCCCCGGCUAACUACGUGCCAGCCGCCGCGGUAAUUC